AUACCUUUCUCGGUCUUUUGGCUAAGAUCAAAUGUAGUAUCUGUUUUUAUCAGUUUAAUAUCAGAUAUGUGGACUGUAUGUCCUCGUGUGUUCUUGGGUGUUGUACUACCACCCGGGUGUGAUGCACCCCAACCAAAUCUAAUUAAUAUUUUUAUGUGAUUUUAUCAAGCCUAACCAUGGCUUAAAAUCUGUAUAACAGUAUUUGACUACGUUUCCAACUCAGGUGGUAAAGGAAAAUGGCUU
RNAcentral lists this small nuclear RNA (243 nucleotides) under Triticum urartu. RNAcentral describes it as "U2 spliceosomal RNA". It matches the Rfam family "U2 spliceosomal RNA". From Rfam's summary of the family: U2 is a small nuclear RNA (snRNA) component of the spliceosome (involved in pre-mRNA splicing). Complementary binding between U2 snRNA (in an area lying towards the 5' end but 3' to hairpin I) and the branchpoint sequence (BPS) of the intron results the bulging out of an unpaired adenosine, on the BPS, which initiates a nucleophilic attack at the intronic 5' splice site, thus starting the first of two transesterification reactions that mediate splicing. Lineage: Eukaryota; Viridiplantae; Streptophyta; Magnoliopsida; Poales; Poaceae. The record is from Rfam by way of RNAcentral.